RNAcentral lists this ribosomal RNA (1094 nucleotides) under Aeromonas dhakensis. Its description in RNAcentral is "partial 23S ribosomal RNA". It matches the Rfam family "Bacterial large subunit ribosomal RNA", at positions 196 to 1343 of the family's 2925-position model. Lineage: Bacteria; Pseudomonadati; Pseudomonadota; Gammaproteobacteria; Aeromonadales; Aeromonadaceae. The record is from RNAcentral.
AAACAUCUAAGUACCCCGAGGAAAAGAAAUCAACCGAGAUUCCCUCAGUAGCGGCGAGCGAACGGGGAUUAGCCCUUAAGCAUCUUGGAAGUUAGUGGAACGGUCCUGGAAAGGCCGGCGAUACAGGGUGAUAGCCCCGUACACGAAAACAACCUUGAUGUGAAAUCGAGUAGGGCGGGACACGUGACAUCCUGUCUGAAUAUGGGGGGACCAUCCUCCAAGGCUAAAUACUCCUGACUGACCGAUAGUGAACCAGUACCGUGAGGGAAAGGCGAAAAGAACCCCUGUGAGGGGAGUGAAAUAGAACCUGAAACCGUGUACGUACAAGCAGUGGGAGCCCUUCGGGGUGACUGCGUACCUUUUGUAUAAUGGGUCAGCGACUUACAUUUUGUAGCGAGGUUAACCGUAUAGGGGAGCCGUAGGGAAACCGAGUCUUAACUGGGCGUCUAGUUGCAAGGUGUAGACCCGAAACCGGGUGAUCUAGCCAUGGGCAGGUUGAAGGUUGAGUAACAUCAACUGGAGGACCGAACCCACUAACGUUGCAAAGUUAGGGGAUGACCUGUGGCUGGGGGUGAAAGGCCAAUCAAACUCGGAGAUAGCUGGUUCUCCCCGAAAGCUAUUUAGGUAGCGCCUCGGACGAAUACUACUGGGGGUAGAGCACUGUUUGGGCUAGGGGGUCAUCCCGACUUACCAACCCCAUGCAAACUCCGAAUACCAGUAAGUAAUAUCCGGGAGACACACGGCGGGUGCUAACGUCCGUCGUGAAGAGGGAAACAACCCAGACCGCCGGCUAAGGUCCCAAAGUUCUGGUUAAGUGGGAAACGAUGUGGGAAGGCUCAGACAGCUAGGAUGUUGGCUUAGAAGCAGCCAUCAUUUAAAGAAAGCGUAAUAGCUCACUAGUCGAGUCGGCCUGCGCGGAAGAUGUAACGGGGCUCAAACCAGGCACCGAAGCCGCGGAUUCACGCUAAGCGUGAGUGGUAGGGGAGCGUUCUGUAAGUCUGCGAAGGUGUGUCGAGAGGCAUGCUGGAGAUAUCAGAAGUGCGAAUGCUGACGUAAGUAACGAUAAAGGGGGUGAAAAGCCUCCUCGCCGGAAG